This 60-nucleotide transfer RNA is filed under the name Pseudotrapelus sinaitus (Sinai agama). RNAcentral describes it as "tRNA-Ser". Lineage: Eukaryota; Metazoa; Chordata; Lepidosauria; Squamata; Agamidae. The record is from RNAcentral.
AAGAAAACUUGCGUCAGAACUGCUAACUCUGACCCCUGGAAUUAACACACCCAGACUUCU